GAUGAACGCUGGCGGCGUGCCUAAUACAUGCAAGUCGAGCGAACGGACGAGAAGCUUGCUUCUCUGAUGUUAGCGGCGGACGGGUGAGUAACACGUGGAUAACCUACCUAUAAGACUGGGAUAACUUCGGGAAACCGGAGCUAAUACCGGAUAAUAUUUUGAACCGCAUGGUUCAAAAGUGAAAGACGGUCUUGCUGUCACUUAUAGAUGGAUCCGCGCUGCAUUAGCUAGUUGGUAAGGUAACGGCUUACCAAGGCAACGAUGCAUAGCCGACCUGAGAGGGUGAUGGGCCACACUGGAACUGAGACACGGUCCAGACUCCUACGGGAGGCAGAAGUAGGGAAUCUUCCGAAAUGGGCGAAAGCCUGACGGAGAAACGCCGCGUGAGUGAUGAAGGUCUUCGGAUCGUAAAACUCUGUUAUUAGGGAAGAAAAUAUGUGUAAGUAACUGUGAACAUCUUGACGGUACCUAAUCAGAAAGCCACGGCUAACUACGU
Molecule: ribosomal RNA, 496 nt
Filed under: uncultured bacterium
Lineage: Bacteria
Description: partial 16S ribosomal RNA
Rfam family: Bacterial small subunit ribosomal RNA
Source: RNAcentral